GACGAACGCUGGCUGCGUGCUUAACACAUGCAAGUCGAACGCUGAAGCCCCAGCUUGCUGGGGUGGAUGAGUGGCGAACGGGUGAGUAACACGUGAGUAACCUGCCCCUGACUUCGGGAUAAGCCCGGGAAACUGGGUCUAAUACCGGAUACGACUAUCGGACGCAUGUCUGGUGGUGGAAAGUUUUUUCGGUUGGGGAUGGGCUCGCGGCCUAUCAGUUUGUUGGUGAGGUAAUGGCUCACCAAGACGACGACGGGUAGCCGGCCUGAGAGGGCGACCGGCCACACUGGGACUGAGACACGGCCCAGACUCCUACGGGAGGCAGCAGUGGGGAAUAUUGCACAAUGGGGGAAACCCUGAUGCAGCGACGCAGCGUGCGGGAUGACGGCCUUCGGGUUGUAAACCGCUUUAAGCAGGGAAGAAGCCUUCGGGUGACGGUACCUGCAGAAGAAGUACCGGCUAACUACGUG
This 470-nucleotide ribosomal RNA is filed under the name uncultured bacterium. Its description in RNAcentral is "partial 16S ribosomal RNA". It matches the Rfam family "Bacterial small subunit ribosomal RNA", at positions 28 to 507 of the family's 1533-position model. The record is from RNAcentral.